This 309-nucleotide ribosomal RNA is filed under the name uncultured archaeon. RNAcentral describes it as "bacterial SSU rRNA". It matches the Rfam family "Archaeal small subunit ribosomal RNA", at positions 526 to 834 of the family's 1478-position model. The record is from RNAcentral.
CGGCCGGCCAAGUCCGUCGGGAAAUCCAGUCGCUCAACGACUGGGCGUCCGGCGGAAACUAGCCGGCUUGGGGCCGGAAGACCCAGGGGGUACGUCCGGGGUAGGAGUGAAAUCCCGUAAUCCUGGACGGACCGCCGAUGGCGAAAGCACCCUGGGAAGACGGACCCGACGGUGAGGGACGAAAGCUAGGGUCUCGAACCGGAUUAGAUACCCGGGUAGUCCUAGCCGUAAACGAUGCUCGCUAGGUGUGGCACAGGCUACGAGCCUGUGCUGUGCCGUAGGGAAGCCGAGAAGCGAGCCGCCUGGGAA